Molecule: ribosomal RNA, 118 nt
Filed under: Microcebus murinus (gray mouse lemur)
Lineage: Eukaryota; Metazoa; Chordata; Mammalia; Primates; Cheirogaleidae
Source: RNAcentral
GUCUGCAUCCAUACCACCCUAAACACACCCAAUCUUAUCUGAUCUCGGAAGCUAAGCAGGGUCAGGGGCCUGGUUAGUAGUUGGAUGGGAAAAGAAACAAUAACUCUAGACGCACAGA